This 497-nucleotide ribosomal RNA is filed under the name uncultured bacterium. RNAcentral's name for it is "partial 16S ribosomal RNA". It matches the Rfam family "Bacterial small subunit ribosomal RNA", at positions 28 to 507 of the family's 1533-position model. The record is from RNAcentral.
GACGAACGCUGGCGGCGUGCCUAAUACAUGCAAGUAGAACGCUGAAGAGAGGAGCUUGCUCUUCUUGGAUGAGUUGCGAACGGGUGAGUAACGCGUAGGUAACCUGCCUGGUAGCGGGGGAUAACUAUUGGAAACGAUAGCUAAUACCGCAUAAAAUUGAUUAUUGCAUGAUAAUUAAUUGAAAGAUGCAACUGCAUCACUACCAGAUGGACCUGCGUUGUAUUAGCUAGUUGGUGAGGUAACGGCUCACCAAGGCGACGAUACAUGGCCGACCUGAGAGGGUGAUCGGCCACACUGGGACUGAGACACGGCCCAGACUCCUACGGGAGGCAGCAGUAGGGAAUCUUCGGCAAGGGGGGGAACCCUGACCGAGCAACGCCGCGUGAGUGAAGAAGGUUUUCGGAUCGUAAAGCUCUGUUGUAAGAGAAGAACGGGUGUGAGAGUGGAAAGUUCACACUGUGACGGUAUCUUACCAGAAAGGGACGGCUAACUACGUG